CUCUCAGGAAUGGGUAGUGGGUACUGAACGAGUCCAGAGUUUGUUUUCAGGGUGAUGAACAGGUUCAGGAAUUAGGCAAUGGUGGCAUGACAUUGUGAAUAUACUAAAAAGAUUUAAUUGUACACUUUCAAAUGGUUAAGUUGAUGAAAUUUAUGAGAAUUUUAUUUCAAUUGAACAAUCUUAUAUCCUUACAUAUGUUUAUCAGUUGCUGAAAACAGCUUGUUAAAUUUUUCACUGUGCUUUGUAGAUUUUUCUAUUUCUCCUUUUAAUUCUGCCCAACUUUUUGAAGUUAUGGUACAUACAAAUUUGAAUUGUUAUAAGGUCAUUCCUUGUUAUUUGUGGUAGUUAUAUUGUACAAAGCUGUUCCAAAUACUGACUUAGUAAACACUUUCUCCAAGUGUUAGUAACACUUUCUCCAAAGAGGGAUACAGGGUUCGGUUCUUGUGAGGGUCUAUUCAAACAUUUUCAUUAACUGGUCACUACAAAACCUGGUUUUAUGGGCCAAGGAUGUAGCUCAGCGGCACAGCACCUGCCUGGUAAGUGCAAGGACCCAAGUUUGAUCCCUGCUAUGAAAAAAGCCCACCUGGUUUUAUGCACGUCUUUGUUUAAAGACAUUUUAAUAUAUAUUGUUGAUGCAUCAACAUCAAACUCAACAAACAGCAGUGCAAUUUACACUAGAAAUAGGUUCUCUCUCACACAUAUUUUCUUCCUAAGGUCCAUCCUGACCUUUUUGUAUCUUGGAACUCAUUAGCACUACAUUUGGGGACCAAUUUAAGCAGUGAAACUGUGAGGAGAAAGCACAAAAAUGUGGAAAACAUGACACUGAAUCGUUCAUCAGAAGAACUGUUUAUAGCCUGGGAACCGAAGCGAGGAAGAAGGCUGCCUUACUCAUCUCGGACCAUUCACAGGAUGCUCUAAUGUUCCCAGUAUCCUCUGCUUGUCCACGAAUAACCCCAAAAUCUAUGAGACCAUGGAUUUGGGAUGACAAACUUCAGCAAGCAGGUACUAUUGCAAAUACGGACUCCUCAAUAAUGAGGAUCAAUUGUCUUGCUGCAACUUGGAUUUCUAGGUCUUAAAAUGUCCCUCUGGCCAUGGCAUCUCUAGAGAGCCUGAGGAGCCAGAAACUCCCUACACAAAGGCUCCACUUAGAAAGAGGAAACUGGAAACGCUACUGGCAGCUUCCCCGGUUUCUGUCCUAGGGAGCAACUUUUUUGUUUUGUUUUGUUUUGUUUUUUUGGCAGUACUGGGCAUUAAAUAGGACCUUCACACUGAGCUACAUCCUCAGCCCCUACUUUAAUCUUUUAUUUUGAGACAGAGGCUCACCAAAUUGAUAAGUGGCCCAGGCUGGCCUUGAUUCUGCAAUUCUCCUGCCUCAGAGUGCUGGGAUUACAGGCGGUACCACCAUGCCCAACUAACUUCCUUCCUAACACCUGUCCUUUCAGGAUGGCUACGCCCACCUCCCCUAGUACAUACUUAUGCUCCUAUAACAAAUUAUCACUGCCUCGGUGGCUUAAAACAGUAGAAAUUUAUUCUCCAUUCUGGAGGCAAGAAGCCCACACUCCCUUCAAAGGACUAGGGGAGAGCCCUUCCCAUUCUUGUUCCAGCUGCUAGUGGCCAUCAGCCUUCCGGAGCCGUGCAGCUGGGAGUCCAGGCACUGCCUCUGUGGCUGUACUGCCUUCUCUUCCCCCUGUGAAAGCUUCCUUGGCCUCCCUCUGACAAAGGCCAGGUGAUUACACUGGGUAAUCCUGCAAACUGUUAGCCUCCCAAGAUCCCUCCUUUCCCAAGCCAGGUAACAGGUACAGGCUGUAGGAAUCAGGACCCGAUUGCCUUCUUUGAAGGACACUUUGCAGCCUGCUCUACCUUGUAUCCUCGUGCUUGGUGGGGAGGAAGGCCUCACUCAGAGGCCCACGGGACUUCCUGGUUUGUUCCAUGAGAACUGGCAACCCAGCUGAGCACGAGUAGGAUCUGGCCCUCAGUGAGAUGAGCAAUACACUCUGGAGACCAGGACAGAGGCCAGGGGACACCAGCUCUUCCUCAGUGCUGUAGCAUCUCUUGGGCACAGGGCUUGGCCCUGGGGUUGCGUUACUUCUGACAGUGACAGUAGCACCUCCUCCACGGUGGACCCAGGAGCUGCUGCAGAUUCACCUGUAAAUUAAAACCCUCUCCUCAGCAAAGGGCUGAGCCUGCCUCCUUCUGCUUCACAUACCAGAGGUCGGGCACUUUAUAAAGAAAAGAAAUUACUUUGGCUCACUGUGAUGGAAGUUGGGAAGUUCAAGAUCUGUGGAGGGCCUCAUGUCGGUGGGGACUCGGAAGAGUCCCAUGGCAGCACAGAGCAAGACACAGCAAGCUCGCUAGCUUGGGUCUCUCUUUCUCGUCGGAUGAAACCAGGAAGAAGUCACGAGGCCGCAUCCUCAUGACCGCAUCUUAUCCUAAUUACCACCAGGGCUGGGAAUUUAGCUCCGUGGUCCCACCACGUGCCUCGCAAGCUCAAGGACCAGAGUUCAAUCCUGGUACCAAAAAAAAAAUUUCAGUGGCUAAUUACCGCCCCAAAGCCUCAGUUGUCCUACCAUUUAACACCUCACAGGGGAUUAAAUUUCAACAGGAGGUUUGGGAAGGACAGUCAAACUACAGCAAGCUGAUUCCACCAGACUGAUUGUUCCUUGAAUGCUGCAGCUGAGCCUGUCCAUGCAGCUAUGUAGCUGAUGAAGACCACCUGAACACUACCCCAUACUGGGUCCUGGGAAGGCAGGUCUCAGCCAGCCAGGUGCUCCCAGCCCAGCUGCAAAGGACUUGUGAGGUCUUUCAACAUUGAAUCUACCUUCCUCAGCUUCCCAGAGUGCUGGGAUUCCAGCAAUUUAGAUUUUUAUUUCCAUUGAAAUACUCCUCCAUCAUCUGAAACUCGAAGAAGUUCCAAAGGCAACUGGAAUGAUUGGGCGUCAGUGGGAUAAAGGCACCAAGAUUAGAAUAAGAAGCUCUAAAGAAGAACUCUAAAGCUAUUUCACCUGUUCCUGACUUGCUUACCUUCUCAGUGAUCUGGAAGACAUCGAGCUGCUGACACACGGAACAACCUGGGUAAAUCUUGAAUAUACACCAUUACGCUGAGUAAAAAAAGCCACACACAGAGGGAAACACUGUUGGAUUCCAUUUUUUAAAGGACAGUCUGAAAGGCAAAACUAUAGUGGCAAAAUUUAGACCAGUGGUUGCCAGAAUUGGGGAUGAAGGGGCUAACCUGGAUAAAACUGGGGUUAGUGGAACAUUUCUGGAUAAUGAAAAUGCUGUCCUGUUUAUCUUUAUUGUGAUUAUAUCUACAUGGUUGUUUGUAUACAUUCAUCAAAAUGUACAUGAAGAAUGGAGAAUGUUCUAUACAUAAAUUGUGCCUUGACACAUCCAAAAUACCUGACUUAAACAAUAAGCGUUAUCAUACCAAGAGUUAGACUGACAGGCCCAAUACGGUGGGGUUACUGUCUUGCCUCAUUGGAAUAAGACACUAUUAAUGCAGUUAAAACUAGUACUUGGCUUAGGGAAACCGUUUCACAAUUUUGUCUCAAAUCAAGC
Molecule: long non-coding RNA, 3555 nt
Filed under: Heterocephalus glaber (naked mole-rat)
Lineage: Eukaryota; Metazoa; Chordata; Mammalia; Rodentia; Bathyergidae
Description: lncRNA (ENSHGLG00100042492.1)
Source: RNAcentral